AUACGGAGGGUGCAAGCGUUAAUCGGAAUUACUGGGCGUAAGGCGCGCGUAGGCGGUUUAGUCAGUCAGAUGUGAAAGCCCUGGGCUCAACCUGGGAACUGCAUUUGAUACUGCUGAACUCGAGUAUGGUAGAGGGAAGUGGAAUUCCGGGUGUAGCGGCGAAAUGCGUAGAUAUCCGGAGGAACACCAGUGGCGAAGGCGACUUCCUGGACCAAUACUGACGCUGAGGUGCGAAAGCGUGGGUAGCAAACAGGAUUAGAAACCCCAGUAGUCC
RNAcentral lists this ribosomal RNA (274 nucleotides) under uncultured bacterium. RNAcentral describes it as "partial 16S ribosomal RNA". It matches the Rfam family "Bacterial small subunit ribosomal RNA", at positions 523 to 796 of the family's 1533-position model. The record is from RNAcentral.